CAAUGGAGAGAAGAGAUAUUGGUGAACAAAUUUAGGAAUGAUGGAAGUAAACUGGAGGAACAGAAAUGCUUCCAGCAUAGGUAACCCAAUGUCUUAAGGGAGCCUCCACACUGUUUUCCACAGCUGCUCUACUGUUCUUCUGGGAUCUGACACCAAAACACAGAUUUCUUCCAGCUGUCACGAGUGUUCCAGCUGGACCUCAGGAACCUGAAGGGCUUCCUUUCCCAGCCCAAGGACGACCUCUCAGCUCUCAAUGUCCGUCAUUGUCUUCCACAUGAGUCUAAACCUGCUUUCUAUGCUGUUAGUUGCUAAAUAAAAUCUGUGGUUUCUCCCCCAAACCUCCACCCCCUGUUCUUGGCUUCUCAAUGCUGUAUCUAAAACAUGCCAUGGAUCAGGCGUUCAGAGAAAGAGAACAUCUCGAAAGCUGCAGUCCUCCGUACGUCUGGGUUGACCCUUUCAUUCCUGACUUUCCAUCUCUCAGAAGGGGAGGACGUGGUACAGCAAUGAGAGCACCAGCUGGGGGUCUAGGAGGCAUCUGGAUUCAAAUCCAGCUAUGUUGUUUGACCUUGAGAAAGUCAUUUACCUUUUUGGAUUCCAUCUGUGUACUAAAGGUGAUUAAAUAAGAGGGGAUAAGAAAAAUACCCAGCAUGUACUAGACACACAAGCCACAUUCUAGUGCUUUGAUGCCUUCAUAAUGUACUUUAGAGGAAUGUUUAAAUAGUGUUUGCUUUUUUCUCAUCACCCACAACCCCUGUUAGCUCAGUUUCCCAAUUCCCUGAUGCCUUCCAGCUCACUGUGCAAGCACAAUUCUUAGUCCUCUGACAUUCCUUUUAG
Molecule: long non-coding RNA, 834 nt
Organism: Mustela erminea (ermine)
Lineage: Eukaryota; Metazoa; Chordata; Mammalia; Carnivora; Mustelidae
Exons: 3
Source: RefSeq, a predicted model, not a curated record